AAAUAUGUAGGGAGCUGCAGAGGGAUUCAUUUGCCUUUAAAAUCUUCAGAGGACGUAGAAAGUCUCGAGCUGGACUUGCAGACGGAUCCAGGAAAACGGGCACACUUGGAAUGCUAUUUGAGAAUGCGUGGAGGAAGCAAUUUGAAGCAGGUAGUCAGGGGCAUACUAUCUCAGCUGUUUACAAAUGAGUUGGCCCGAUCCUACAACGUACAUGGGAAGAAGGGGAAGAAGGGACUAAAAAACCACCCCUUUCUUUUGCAAACAGUUCAGGAUGCUGCAAGAAAAACGUUCCCUGCAGCAACAGAUGUAGAAGUGCAGGCAUUGAUCGCAAAGUGGCUAACUGGUGCGCGGGACCGAGAUAACGGACGACGAGAAAGGGCACCCGAGCACAGACAAUUAAAAGCAUUAUUAAAUAACUCUGGGGAGGGGAAUGCAUUGGGGGGCAUGUAAAG
Long non-coding RNA from Pomacea canaliculata, 452 nucleotides. RefSeq lists it as uncharacterized. Lineage: Eukaryota; Metazoa; Mollusca; Gastropoda; Architaenioglossa; Ampullariidae. The transcript has 3 exons. The record is from RefSeq and is a predicted model, not a curated record.